CGGUUGAUCCUGCCGGAGGUUACUGCUAUCGGGGUUCGAUUAAGCCAUGCAAGUUAAAUGUUUUUCGUAAACAUAGCGAACUGCUCAGUAACACGUGGAUAACUUAACCUUAGGUCCGGCAUAACCCCGGGAAACUGGGGAUAAUUCCGGAUGUAUCAAGGAUGCUGGAAUGCCCUUUGGUUCAAAGCUUUUGUGCCUAAGGAUAGGUCUGCGGUCUAUCAGGUAGUAGUGGGUGUAACGUACCUACUAGCCGACGACGGAUACGGGUUGUGAGAGCAAGAGCCCGGAGAUGGAUUCUGAGACACGAAUCCAGGCCCUACGGGGUGCAGCAGGCGCGAACACUUUACAAUGCGGGAAACCGCGAUAAGGGAACCCCGAGUGCCAGUACUAAGUGCUGGCUGUCUAGAUGAAUAGAUAUCAUUUAACAGCAAGGGCCGGGCAAGACCGGUGCCGGCCGCCGCGGUAACACCGGCGGCCCGAGUGGUAACCGAUAUUAUUGGGUCUAAAGGGUCCGUAGCCUGUUUAAUAAGUCCUUUGGGAAAUCUGGCAGCUUAACUGUCAGGCUGCUAAAGGAUACUGUUAAACUUGGGACCGGUAGACGUAGGGGGUACUCCAGGGGUAGGAGUGAAAUCUUGUAAUCCCUGGGGGACCAUCUGUGGCGAAGGCGCCCUACGAGAACGGGUCCGACGGUGAGGGACGAGAGCUAGGGGAGCAAACCGGAUUAGAUACCCGGGUAGUCCUAGCUGUAAACGAUGCUCGCUAGGUGUCAGGCACGGUGCGUCCGUGUCUGGUGCCGCAGGGAAGCCGUUAAGCGAGCCACCUGGGGAGUACGGUCGCAAGGCUGAAACUUAAAGGAAUUGGCGGGGGAGCACUACAACGGGUGGAGCCUGCGGUUUAAUUGGAUUCAACGCCGGA
This 915-nucleotide ribosomal RNA is filed under the name uncultured archaeon. RNAcentral describes it as "bacterial SSU rRNA". It matches the Rfam family "Archaeal small subunit ribosomal RNA", at positions 5 to 922 of the family's 1478-position model. The record is from RNAcentral.